Molecule: ribosomal RNA, 429 nt
Filed under: Bacillota bacterium
Lineage: Bacteria; Bacillati; Bacillota
Description: Firmicutes bacterium partial 16S ribosomal RNA
Rfam family: Bacterial small subunit ribosomal RNA
Source: RNAcentral
UAGGGAAUCUUCGGCAAUGGACGGAAGUCUGACCGAGCAACGCCGCGUGAGUGAAGAAGGUUUUCGGAUCGUAAAGCUCUGUUGUUAGAGAAGAACGUUGGUAGGAGUGGAAAAUCUACCAAGUGACGGUAACUAACCAGAAAGGGACGGCUAACUACGUGCCAGCAGCCGCGGUAAUACGUAGGUCCCGAGCGUUGUCCGGAUUUAUUGGGCGUAAAGCGAGCGCAGGCGGUUCUUUAAGUCUGAAGUUAAAGGCAGUGGCUUAACCAUUGUACGCUUUGGAAACUGGAGGAAUUGAGUGCAGAAGGGGAGAGGGAAAUUCCAUGUGUAGCGGUGAAAUGCGUAGAUAUAUGGAGGAACACCGGUGGCGAAAGCGGCUCUCUGGUCUGUAACUGACGCUGAGGCUCGAAAGCGUGGGGAGCAAACAGG